Molecule: ribosomal RNA, 519 nt
Filed under: Escherichia coli
Lineage: Bacteria; Pseudomonadati; Pseudomonadota; Gammaproteobacteria; Enterobacterales; Enterobacteriaceae
Description: partial 23S ribosomal RNA
Rfam family: Bacterial large subunit ribosomal RNA
Source: RNAcentral
AUAGUGAUCCGGUGGUUCUGAAUGGAAGGGCCAUCGCUCAACGGAUAAAAGGUACUCCGGGGAUAACAGGCUGAUACCGCCCAAGAGUUCAUAUCGACGGCGGUGUUUGGCACCUCGAUGUCGGCUCAUCACAUCCUGGGGCUGAAGUAGGUCCCAAGGGUAUGGCUGUUCGCCAUUUAAAGUGGUACGCGAGCUGGGUUUAGAACGUCGUGAGACAGUUCGGUCCCUAUCUGCCGUGGGCGCUGGAGAACUGAGGGGGGCUGCUCCUAGUACGAGAGGACCGGAGUGGACGCAUCACUGGUGUUCGGGUUGUCAUGCCAAUGGCACUGCCCGGUAGCUAAAUGCGGAAGAGAUAAGUGCUGAAAGCAUCUAAGCACGAAACUUGCCCCGAGAUGAGUUCUCCCUGACCCUUUAAGGGUCCUGAAGGAACGUUGAAGACGACGACGUUGAUAGGCCGGGUGUGUAAGCGCAGCGAUGCGUUGAGCUAACCGGUACUAAUGAACCGUGAGGCUUAACCUU